This 19-nucleotide small nuclear RNA is filed under the name Arabidopsis thaliana (thale cress). RNAcentral describes it as "snRNA_02269". Lineage: Eukaryota; Viridiplantae; Streptophyta; Magnoliopsida; Brassicales; Brassicaceae. The record is from RNAcentral.
GUCUCUUUGAAGUUUUAAA